GGUGGCGUAAUGGUUUCGACGGGAUCAGACUGCUGGUAAGGUUGCAUGUCGAGGUUCCACCAGGCCUCGUUAAACCGGUGGACAAAUGAUAACUGCCAACACUGAAAUGGCACUAGCCGCCUAAUAAGGUCGGCCGUCCGCCGCUUGCGUGUCUACCGCUUGCGGGUCGGGCGUCACAUUGUAGACUGGCGGCGUCCGUUGGCCACAGACAAGGCGCCGCGAGAUUUAUCUGUGGCUAGCCGAUGUAUUCCCUGCCCGUGGGGACGGCAUCGUGCGAAGCACAACCACGGGAAAAGCAUGUAGUAGCCUUCCCGGCGAUGCUCUCGGACGCGAGUUCGACUCUCGCCGCCUCCACCA
This 357-nucleotide transfer-messenger RNA is filed under the name bacterium. Its description in RNAcentral is "GCA-2687025 sp018644665 Standard tmRNA". It matches the Rfam family "transfer-messenger RNA". From Rfam's summary of the family: Bacterial tmRNA, also known as 10Sa RNA or SsrA, is named for its dual tRNA and mRNA-like properties. RNAcentral also lists the same sequence under 1 other name. The record is from RNAcentral.